AUUGAACGCUGGCGGCAGGCCUAACACAUGCCAGUCGAGCGGAUGAAGGGAGCUUGCUCCUGGAUUCAGCGGCGGACGGGUGAGUAAUGCCUAGGAAUCUGCCUGGUAGUGGGGGAUAACGUCCGGAAACGGGCGCUAAUACCGCAUACGUCCUGAGGGAGAAAGUGGGGGAUCUUCGGACCUCACGCUAUCAGAUGAGCCUAGGUCGGAUUAGCUAGUUGGUGGGGUAAAGGCCUACCAAGGCGACGAUCCGUAACUGGUCUGAGAGGAUGAUCAGUCACACUGGAACUGAGACACGGUCCAGACUACUACGGGAGGCAGCAGUGGGGAAUAUUAGACAAUGGGCGAAAGCCUGAUCCAGCCAUGCCGCGUGUGUGAAGAAGGUCUUCGGAUUGUAAAGCACUUUAAGUUGGGAGGAAGGGCAGUAAGUUAAUACCUUGCUGUUUUGACGUUACCAACAGAAUAAGCACCGGCUAACUUCGUG
RNAcentral lists this ribosomal RNA (484 nucleotides) under uncultured bacterium. Its description in RNAcentral is "partial 16S ribosomal RNA". It matches the Rfam family "Bacterial small subunit ribosomal RNA", at positions 30 to 507 of the family's 1533-position model. The record is from RNAcentral.